Molecule: transfer RNA, 74 nt
Filed under: Phycodurus eques (leafy seadragon)
Lineage: Eukaryota; Metazoa; Chordata; Actinopteri; Syngnathiformes; Syngnathidae
Description: tRNA-Leu
Rfam family: tRNA
About the family: Transfer RNA (tRNA) molecules are approximately 80 nucleotides in length. Their secondary structure includes four short double-helical elements and three loops (D, anti-codon, and T loops). Further hydrogen bonds mediate the characteristic L-shaped molecular structure. tRNAs have two regions of fundamental functional importance: the anti-codon, which is responsible for specific mRNA codon recognition, and the 3' end, to which the tRNAs corresponding amino acid is attached (by aminoacyl-tRNA synthetases). tRNAs cope with the degeneracy of the genetic code in two manners: having more than one tRNA (with a specific anti-codon) for a particular amino acid; and 'wobble' base-pairing, i.e. permitting non-standard base-pairing at the 3rd anti-codon position.
Source: RNAcentral
GUUAAGGUGGCAGAGCCCGGAUAAUGCAAAAGACCUAAAUCCUUUAAAUAGAGGUUCAAAUCCUCUCCCUAACU